CGCAGCCGCGGUAAUUCCAGCUCCAAUAGCGUAUAUUAAAGUUGCUGCAGUUAAAAAGCUCGUAGUUGAAUUUCGGGAUCAAUAUGUUGGUCGUGCCUUGGUACGUACUAGCUCAUUGGUUUCUCCCUUCUGACGAACCAUGAUGUCAUUAAUUUGAUGUCAUGGGGAAUCAGGACUGUUACUUUAGAAAAAUUAGAGUGUUUAAAGCAGGCUCGCGCUUGAAUACAUUAGCAUGGAAUAAUGAAAUAGGACAUUUGAUUCUAUUUUGUUGGUUUCUAGGAUCGAUGUAAUGAUUAAUAGGGAUAGUUGGGGGCAUUAGUAUUCAAUUGUCAGAGGUGAAAUUCU
Molecule: unclassified non-coding RNA, 345 nt
Filed under: uncultured Glomus
Lineage: Eukaryota; Fungi; Glomeromycota; Glomeromycetes; Glomerales; Glomeraceae
Description: SSU rRNA
Rfam family: Eukaryotic small subunit ribosomal RNA
Source: RNAcentral